GGUCAGUGCAGUAUGGAUAUGGGUGGUACAGUCAGUAACCAAUCAGAUCACUAGUGAUUUAUUCGGAGUAAUUGAAAACAGUGUAAUGCCAACUGUAAGAUCCAUUGUUGGAAAAAAGACAUUGAAAGAUAAAAAGCCAGAGUUAUUUAAGAAAUUCUGAAGGAAAUGGAAAUGUCACAGCAAAAUUGACCAGGAGAUAAACUGUUUUCAGUGCUGCGGACAACCAAUCUACUUGAUGAGCCUAAAAUGAUGAACUGAAAAAAAAGGAGUGAAAUAUGAUGGACUAUGACUUCAACAAAUCAAUGGGAAACAUCAGCAAGAUUCUUUCUAGCCGUUAAUUGCCAAUUCAGGCAAAAUAAAGUUGCAGAAGAGAAUUACAAUCAACCAUGUUGACGCAUCUGUUUGUGCCCAGUCGCCCAGAGAGAAUAAAGGCGGUGGAUUUGCUUUACUGAGAGAGAUUAACAUACUGGAGAGGUUUUUAUGACAGUCCUAUAGUUUCAGGAUCCUGAUUACUGAUGAUUGAUUUUAGUUACCAGUUUACCUAAUUAUUUGAAUUGAGAGCCUCGGCGUCUAGUAACUUCACCCCCAUUUGGCUGCAUGAGAAGGAACAUGUGGCUGAUCAUUUUCUUCCUGCUAUUCCACGGAAAUCAUUGUAAUAUUAAACUUUGAUGUAUUUCUUGGUAUUUUCAAAAGCUCACCUUUUCAGCAAUACUGUACAACACCUCAUCCAUCUUCAUGCACGUUGGAUCCCAAUCAUGACCAAAACGAAUGACUACAACGCGAUCUUCCUCCGACAGAAUGGCCUGGUCAACUUGCCAACCAUUGUGGAGAUGUGGUAACAUAUACGACAUUCUGGCAGAGUUAUAUUAACUUCCAAAACAAACUAAAACAAACAAAAGAGGGGUUAAUUUACUCCUAAACUGGGAAGUUCAACAUACAAUUACCAGCACUAUGAAGCUGAGAGCGGCUUUACAAAAUCAGUGGUAAUAAUUGGGAUGGCCUGACAUAAAAACAAUCAUAUUAGUGUAUAUAAAAACAUUUACAGCUAUUAUACUGGUUGAAGUAAUGAACGCUGUAAUUCUACGAAAUGAAAAUACUGUACAGAAUUUUCACCUUUUAUUUGCUCUCCUUAAUGUUCCACCCAUAUUGGUCCAUUUGGUCAGAAUGCACUGGAGUUUUUAACAGUCAUACAUAGAAUGAAUAAAAUAAAACAGUUUAUUUCAA
Amblyraja radiata (thorny skate) is the source of this 1224-nucleotide long non-coding RNA. RefSeq lists it as uncharacterized. NCBI's taxonomy places the organism in Eukaryota, Metazoa, Chordata, Chondrichthyes, Rajiformes, Rajidae. The record is from RefSeq and is a predicted model, not a curated record. The transcript is spliced from 3 exons.